This 483-nucleotide ribosomal RNA is filed under the name uncultured bacterium. RNAcentral describes it as "partial 16S ribosomal RNA". It matches the Rfam family "Bacterial small subunit ribosomal RNA", at positions 30 to 507 of the family's 1533-position model. The record is from RNAcentral.
AUUGAACGCUGGCGGCAGGCCUAACACAUGCAAGUCGAGCGGAUGAAGGGAGCUUGCUCCUGGAUUCAGCGGCGGACGGGUGAGUAAUGCCUAGGAAUCUGCCUGGUAGUGGGGGAUAACGUCCGGAAACGGGCGCUAAUACCGCAUACGUCCUGAGGGAGAAAGUGGGGAUCUUCGGACCUCACGCUAUCAGAUGAGCCUAGGUCGGAUUAGCUAGUUGGUGGGGUAAAGGCCCACCAAGGCGACGAUCCGUAACUGGUCUGAGAGGAUGAUCAGUCACACUGGAACUGAGACACGGUCCAGACUCCUACGGGAGGCAGCAGUGGGGAAUAUUGGACAAUGGGCGAAAGCCUGAUCCAGCCAUGCCGCGUGUGUGAAGAAGGUCUUCGGAUUGUAAAGCACUUUAAGUUGGGAGGAAGGGCAGUAAGUUAAUACCUUGCUGUUUUGACGUUACCAACAGAAUAAGCACCGGCUAACUUCGUG